GACUACCCGGGUAUCUAAUCCUGUUUGCUCCCCACGCUUUCGCUCCUCAGCGUCAGUAUCGGCCCAGAGACCCGCCUUCGCCACCGGUGUUCUUCCUGAUAUCUGCGCAUUUCACCGCUACACCAGGAGUUCCAGUCUCCCCUACCGAACUCUAGUUUGCCCGUAUCGAAUGCAGGCCCAUGGUUAAGCCAUAGGUUUUCACAUCCGACGCGACAAACCGCCUACGAGCUCUUUACGCCCAAUAAAUCCGGACAACGCUUGCACCCUACGUAUUACCGCGGCUGCUGGCACGUAGUUAGCCGGUGCUUCUUCUGCAGGUACAGUCACUUUCGCUUCGUCCCUGCUGAAAGAGGUUUACAACCCGAAGGCCGUCGUCCCUCACGCGGCGUCGCUGCAUCAGGCUUUCGCCCAUUGUGCAAUAUUCCCCACUGCAGCCCCCCGUAGG
Molecule: ribosomal RNA, 445 nt
Filed under: uncultured Actinomycetales bacterium
Lineage: Bacteria; Bacillati; Actinomycetota; Actinomycetes; Actinomycetales
Description: partial 16S ribosomal RNA
Source: RNAcentral